UAACGCGAAGAACCUUACCAAGGCUUGACAUGAACCGGAAAGACCUGGAAACAGGUGCCCCGCUUGCGGUCGGUUUACAGGUGGUGCAUGGUUGUCGUCAGCUCGUGUCGUGAGAUGUUGGGUUAAGUCCCGCAACGAGCGCAACCCUCGUUCUAUGUUGCCAGCGCGUUAUGGCGGGGACUCAUAGGAGACUGCCGGGGUCAACUCGGAGGAAGGUGGGGACGACGUCAAAUCAUCAUGCCCCUUAUGUCUUGGGCUUCACGCAUGCUACAAUGGCCGGUACAAAGGGUUGCGAUACUGUGAGGUGGAGCUAAUCCCAAAAAGCCGGUCUCAGUUCGGAUUGGGGUCUGCAACUCGACCCCAUGAAGUCGGAGUCGCUAGUAAUCGCAGAUCAGCAACGCUGCGGUGAAUACGUUCCCGGGUCUUGUACACACCGA
RNAcentral lists this ribosomal RNA (437 nucleotides) under uncultured bacterium. RNAcentral's name for it is "bacterial SSU rRNA". It matches the Rfam family "Bacterial small subunit ribosomal RNA", at positions 957 to 1393 of the family's 1533-position model. The record is from RNAcentral.